UACAGAGGGGGCAAGCGUUGUUCGGAAUUACUGGGCGUAAAGGGCGCGUAGGCGGCCUGUUAAGUCGAACGUGAAAUCCCCGGGCUUAACCCGGGAACUGCGUCCGAUACUGGCAGGCUUGAAUCCGGGAGAGGGAUGCGGAAUUCCAGGUGUAGCGGUGAAAUGCGUAGAUAUCUGGAGGAACACCGGUGGCGAAGGCGGCAUCCUGGACCGGCAUUGACGCUGAGGCGCGAAAGCCAGGGGAGCAAACGGG
This 253-nucleotide ribosomal RNA is filed under the name uncultured bacterium. RNAcentral describes it as "partial 16S ribosomal RNA". It matches the Rfam family "Bacterial small subunit ribosomal RNA", at positions 524 to 776 of the family's 1533-position model. The record is from RNAcentral.